AAAUCCUAACUCUCCUCACCAAAAAUUAAAAAUAAAAUAAAAAUUAAAAAAUCCCUAUAUAGAAGUCUCCUAAUAUUGAAACCUGAGAAAACUAGGGCUUUAAUCUGUCAGGGUUAUUGGGAUACAAGUUUUUCAAGCAUAUGAUCUCUUCUCACAACGACUAUGCUGUAAGACGGAAUAAUAAUGGAGUUGUUUUAAAGAUUAUGUGACUCAAAGUGUUAAGUAUAAAACAUAUAGAAUGGCCUUUAACAUGUUCGAAGAGCUCGAUAAUGAUAAUUGUGGGUAUUUUAUGCCUCAGUGAAUGGUAGUGGUUAUUAUGAAGCUACAAGAAAAGUCAUUCACUUUAAACAUACCAGAAAUUUGAGUUAGAUACAAUAGGAAAAUAUUACAAUUAUUUUUAGGUAAGAAACCACCCUUAUUUAGAAAAACAUCUAGAUGGGUGCUUUUAGUAUUAUGAAAGCCAAAGUAUUCUGAAUGUAAUCCAGGAGAAUAGAAUGCUCUGAAUAAUACAGAAAUACAUCUAAGAGUUUCCUUCAGGCAACUGGAAUAGGAGGAGGUUUUUGUGAAGAUGAACAAGACCCUGGGAGUAGAGAGGGCUCACCUAUCAUGCAAAGAACAGAGGCCAGAUAAGAAUAUGGGUCAGUGAUAUAUCCUUCAACACAGAGAAAAUAAGAAAACAAAUCCUGAUAAUGAAAACGAUAAGUUGUUCUGUGUUCAGUGCUGUGCUAUGCACCCCUCUGUUAUCAAAUUUUUAAUCCUAAUUAUUUUAAAUUCUAAAAUGUUAGUAGAAGGAGACUCCCAUCAACAAUCUUAUUUUAGCGGUGUUAUGGGGAAUCAUGUAUAAGAAGUCAGUGUUCAGCUCAGGACAAACAGCUCAGUUUUCAAUAACGCAUGUUCAGAUCAGGCAACAUAGAGAAGCAGAAGCCAGAUGGGGAAUGAUUUAGCAGAAAUAUGAGACAAAUUUCUUUCUCUCCAAAUACACUAAAAGAAGGGGAAUGGUGUGUUUGUUCAUGUGUUUGUUUUUGAAGGGGGAUAAGGCAGAGGGAGUUGUUGAUUCCUGACCUCGCAUGUAUUCUGUUACAGAGAUUAGACCUAUCUAGAGAGUAGGUGUUAUUAUUUUAAAUGAUUCAUCUUAUGAUGAUGAUGAUGAUGAUGACUGCUUUCAUUUUUAUCAUUUCCAGAUGAUCUACCUUAUUUUGGAAUUAAGAAACACUUGAAGAUUAUUCUCAGAAAUGCCAUAAGGGAUAUUUAAAAAUCUUGGAGCACACAAGAAGUACAAGAGGAAUGAAAAUGUCAUGUCUUAAUUUUCCAAAAAAGAGAAUAUUUUAGUUUUUAGUAUAUAAAGGCAGAUUAACAAACCUUCACACAAAUCUAAAUUUUAUUACUAAAUUAAUUGAUUACACUUUGUGUUUACUAGGUCACAGGGAAUUUCAGUGGGUUUACUCUGCAAAAGAUUUCAUGUGAAAUACAUUUUUCUAUUCUGAAAGGUUUUUCAAGAUUUUCAAGGCAACUAAGAAGUUUUCUAAAAAGACAGUGUUUGUAAUACAGGCUCUAUAGAAAGCAUCGUUGUGGAGGCCUCAGGAAACUUACAAUCAUGGCAGAAGGCGAAGGGAAGCAGGCACAUCUUACGUGGCUGGAGAAGGAGGAAGAGAGAGCAGAGGAAGGUGCUACACAUUUUUAAACAACCGGAUCUCAUGAGAACUCACUCACUAUCACAAGAACAGCAGGGAAAUCCACCCCCAUGAUUCUAUCACCUCCCACUAGCCCUCUCCUCCUUCAACACUGGGGAUUACAACUCCACAUAAGGUUUGGGCAGGGACACACAUCCAAACCAUAUCAUCACUAAUUAAUGUUUCUGAAAGCUAGAGUUACAUUACAACCACCUGAGGAGCUUUUAGAAAAUUACAGAUCCCUGAGCUUCCAUCUAGAUUGAUUAAAUAAAAAUAUCUGGGCUUGAAUUCCUCGAGUUUGCAUUUUUUAAACUUUGUCAGUGAUUCUGAUGGUCAAUGAGUUUUGAGAACCACCGCUCUAAACCUUUCUGAAAUUUCUUCUUGUUCUAUAAAGUGAGGAUAAUAAUAUGAUAAGGAUAUCUCUGUCACAAUUUGAUGUAAGACAUAUAAAUAACUUAACCUAAAUCAGGUUCUCAGCACUGUAUCAGCUUAUAGAAGUAGAACGAGUAUGCAUUUUGCAAAUGAGUUCCUAAUCUAGCUGCAGUAUUUCCUAGGUCUGUCACAGUCAAGUCAUAGGACUUUGGAGAUUCAGUUUCCUCAUUUCUCAUAGGACCUUGGAGCCUCAGUUUUUCU
This 2303-nucleotide long non-coding RNA is filed under the name Homo sapiens (human). RNAcentral describes it as "HSALNT0191904". The record is from RNAcentral. Lineage: Eukaryota; Metazoa; Chordata; Mammalia; Primates; Hominidae.